Molecule: ribosomal RNA, 376 nt
Filed under: uncultured Thermovirga sp.
Lineage: Bacteria; Thermotogati; Synergistota; Synergistia; Synergistales; Thermovirgaceae
Description: bacterial SSU rRNA
Rfam family: Bacterial small subunit ribosomal RNA
Source: RNAcentral
GGACUUACUCUUCGGAGUGAGAGCGUACACAGGUGCUGCAUGGCUGUCGUCAGCUCGUGUCGUGAGAUGUUGGGUAAGUCCCGCAACGAGCGCAACCCUGCAUUCAGUUGCCAUCGGUAAGCCGGGCACUCUGGAUGGACUGCCGGCGACAAGCCGGAGGAAGUGGGGGAUGACGUCAAGUCAUCAUGGCCCUUAUGUCCAGGGCGACACACGUGCUACAAUGGCCGGCACAACGGGAAGCGAAGGGGCGACCCUGAGCGGAUCCCCAUAAAAGCCGGUCCCAGUUCGGAUUGCAGUCUGCAACUCGACUGCAUGAAGUUGGAAUCGCUAGUAAUCGUGGAUCAGCCAAGCCGCGGUGAAUACGUUCCCGGGCCUU